This 228-nucleotide long non-coding RNA is filed under the name Elaeis guineensis (African oil palm). RNAcentral's name for it is "long non-coding RNA (EGUI_LNC080573)". Lineage: Eukaryota; Viridiplantae; Streptophyta; Magnoliopsida; Arecales; Arecaceae. The record is from RNAcentral.
AUGCCCGAUUCACUUCCACUUGAACUCCAUCUCGCUCUAAGCUCCUCUUGGCUUCUGAAGCUCCACCUCGCAUUGGACUCUCCACUUGGAAGUAAUGUCUUCUCAUCCUCUUCUUUCCUUCCAGAAUAAUCCUAUUAUCGUGCAAUACCUUCAAGAUUCUUCCACCAGCUACCGUCUUGUAGCCUGUCGAAUCCAGUCUGCUCAAUGAGAUAAGAUUCUGUCUGAAAU